Molecule: ribosomal RNA, 260 nt
Filed under: uncultured Oscillospiraceae bacterium
Lineage: Bacteria; Bacillati; Bacillota; Clostridia; Eubacteriales; Oscillospiraceae
Description: partial 16S ribosomal RNA
Rfam family: Bacterial small subunit ribosomal RNA
Source: RNAcentral
UUGCUUUCUCGAGCGAGUGGCGAACGGGUGAGUAACGCGUGAGGAACCUGCCUUUCAGAGGGGGACAACAGUUGGAAACGACUGCUAAUACCGCAUGAUGCAUUCGAGGGGCAUCCCUUGAAUGCCAAAGAUUUAUCGCUGAAAGAUGGACUCGCGUCUGAUUAGCUAGUUGGUGAGGUAACGGCUCACCAAGGCGACGAUCAGUAGCCGGACUGAGAGGUUGAACGGCCACAUUGGGACUGAGAUACGGCCCAGACUCC